RNAcentral lists this ribosomal RNA (113 nucleotides) under uncultured bacterium. RNAcentral's name for it is "partial 16S ribosomal RNA". It matches the Rfam family "Bacterial small subunit ribosomal RNA", at positions 1373 to 1483 of the family's 1533-position model. The record is from RNAcentral.
CCCGGGUCUUGUACACACCGCCCGUCACACCAUGGGAGCGGGUUCUACCACGAAGUAGCUAGUCUAACCGCAACGGAGGACGGUUACCACGGUAGGAUUCGUGACUGGGGUCG